GACGAACGCUGGCGGCGUGCUUAACACAUGCAAGUCGAACGGAAAGGCCCUGCUUUUGUGGGGUGCUCGAGUGGCGAACGGGUGAGUAACACGUGAGUAACCUGCCCUUGACUUUGGGAUAACUUCAGGAAACUGGGGCUAAUACCGGAUAGGAGCUCCUGCUGCAUGGUGGGGGUUGGAAAGUUUCGGCGGUUGGGGAUGGACUCGCGGCUUAUCAGCUUGUUGGUGGGGUAGUGGCUUACCAAGGCUUUGACGGGUAGCCGGCCUGAGAGGGUGACCGGCCACAGUAGGACUGUGAUACGGCCCAGACUCCUACGGGGAGCAGCAGUGGGAGAUAUUGCACAAUGGGCGGAAGCCUGAUGCAGCAACGCCGCGUGCGGGAUAACGGCCUUCGGGUUGUAAACCGCUUUCGCCUGUGACGAAGCGUGAGUGGCGGUAAUGGGUAAAGAAGCACCGGCUAACUACGUG
RNAcentral lists this ribosomal RNA (468 nucleotides) under uncultured bacterium. Its description in RNAcentral is "partial 16S ribosomal RNA". It matches the Rfam family "Bacterial small subunit ribosomal RNA", at positions 28 to 507 of the family's 1533-position model. The record is from RNAcentral.